Molecule: ribosomal RNA, 559 nt
Filed under: Streptomyces diastaticus
Lineage: Bacteria; Bacillati; Actinomycetota; Actinomycetes; Kitasatosporales; Streptomycetaceae
Description: bacterial SSU rRNA
Rfam family: Bacterial small subunit ribosomal RNA
Source: RNAcentral
UUUCAGCAGGGAAGAAGCGAAAGUGACGGUACCUGCAGAAGAAGCGCCGGCUAACUACGUGCCAGCAGCCGCGGUAAUACGUAGGGCGCAAGCGUUGUCCGGAAUUAUUGGGCGUAAAGAGCUCGUAGGCGGCUUGUCGCGUCGGUUGUGAAAGCCCGGGGCUUAACCCCGGGUCUGCAGUCGAUACGGGCAGGCUAGAGUUCGGUAGGGGAGAUCGGAAUUCCUGGUGUAGCGGUGAAAUGCGCAGAUAUCAGGAGGAACACCGGUGGCGAAGGCGGAUCUCUGGGCCGAUACUGACGCUGAGGAGCGAAAGCGUGGGGAGCGAACAGGAUUAGAUACCCUGGUAGUCCACGCCGUAAACGGUGGGCACUAGGUGUGGGCAACAUUCCACGUUGUCCGUGCCGCAGCUAACGCAUUAAGUGCCCCGCCUGGGGAGUACGGCCGCAAGGCUAAAACUCAAAGGAAUUGACGGGGGCCCGCACAAGCGGCGGAGCAUGUGGCUUAAUUCGACGCAACGCGAAGAACCUUACCAAGGCUUGACAUACACCGGAAAGCAUCA